UGAACUGGCAAUGGCUGCGUAAGCUGAGCUAACGCUCGCUUAUGCUCCUUCGAUGGCUGGAGCCCGCCCGGGGCGCUGCCCAUCGAAUCGCAAAUCUGGGCUAGCUGGUCGUGUCGCUCCGAUGCGUCCGGCGAGAUCUUCAGGAGAUAGGCCUCGGAGAGGUCGGUUCGAUACCACUCCGAAGUGACGGCAAAAAGUCGAGCCUACACACGUAGACGCGGUUCUGGAAGCUCACUCGGACCAGGGUUCGAUUCCCUGCGCCUCCAUUA
This 269-nucleotide transfer-messenger RNA is filed under the name Gemmatimonadota bacterium. Its description in RNAcentral is "partial transfer-messenger RNA". It matches the Rfam family "transfer-messenger RNA", at positions 82 to 374 of the family's 374-position model. From Rfam's summary of the family: Bacterial tmRNA, also known as 10Sa RNA or SsrA, is named for its dual tRNA and mRNA-like properties. The record is from RNAcentral. Lineage: Bacteria; Pseudomonadati; Gemmatimonadota.